RNAcentral lists this ribosomal RNA (623 nucleotides) under Lactobacillus delbrueckii. Its description in RNAcentral is "bacterial SSU rRNA". It matches the Rfam family "Bacterial small subunit ribosomal RNA", at positions 56 to 648 of the family's 1533-position model. The record is from RNAcentral. Lineage: Bacteria; Bacillati; Bacillota; Bacilli; Lactobacillales; Lactobacillaceae.
UGCAAGUCGAGCGAGCUGAAUUCAAAGAUUCCUUCGGGGUGAUUUGUUGGACGCUAGCGGCGGAUGGGUGAGUAACACGUGGGCAAUCUGCCCUAAAGACUGGGAUACCACUUGGAAACAGGUGCUAAUACCGGAUAACAACAUGAAUCGCAUGAUUCAAGUUUGAAAGGCGGCGCAAGCUGUCACUUUAGGAUGAGCCCGCGGCGCAUUAGCUAGUUGGUGGGGUAAAGGCCUACCAAGGCAAUGAUGCGUAGCCGAGUUGAGAGACUGAUCGGCCACAUUGGGACUGAGACACGGCCCAAACUCCUACGGGAGGCAGCAGUAGGGAAUCUUCCACAAUGGACGCAAGUCUGAUGGAGCAACGCCGCGUGAGUGAAGAAGGUUUUCGGAUCGUAAAGCUCUGUUGUUGGUGAAGAAGGAUAGAGGCAGUAACUGGUCUUUAUUUGACGGUAAUCAACCAGAAAGUCACGGCUAACUACGUGCCAGCAGCCGCGGUAAUACGUAGGUGGCAAGCGUUGUCCGGAUUUAUUGGGCGUAAAGCGAGCGCAGGCGGAAUGAUAAGUCUGAUGUGAAAGCCCACGGCUCAACCGUGGAACUGCAUCGGAAACUGUCAUUCUUGAGUG